Molecule: regulatory RNA element, 136 nt
Organism: Methanobrevibacter sp. AbM4
Lineage: Archaea; Methanobacteriati; Methanobacteriota; Methanobacteria; Methanobacteriales; Methanobacteriaceae
Rfam family: FMN riboswitch aptamer (RFN element)
About the family: The RFN element is a highly conserved domain that is found frequently in the 5'-untranslated regions of prokaryotic mRNAs that encode for flavin mononucleotide (FMN) biosynthesis and transport proteins. This element is a metabolite-dependent riboswitch that directly binds FMN in the absence of proteins.
Source: Rfam
UGCUAUUCUCAGGGCGGAGUGAAAUUCUCCACUGGUGGUAAUUUAAAAUAGGUUAAAAAGUCCACGAGCACCAUGAAGUGUUGAUUUGGUGAAAGUCCAAAACCAACGGUUAAAGUCCGGAUGAAAGAGAAUUUAG